This is a long non-coding RNA of Bombus huntii, 5108 nucleotides long. RefSeq lists it as uncharacterized. NCBI's taxonomy places the organism in Eukaryota, Metazoa, Arthropoda, Insecta, Hymenoptera, Apidae. The record is from RefSeq and is a predicted model, not a curated record. The transcript has 3 exons.
GGACCUCUCUCGAGAAGAAGAAGAAGAAGAAGAAGAAGAAGAAGAAACAGGACAAUAAGGAAAGUACUUCCGCUGAACGUUCUUCGACGAAGGCUACUUUCCAAAGUUUAGACGUCUUCUCGUCGUACGUAUCUGUCUUGCCACUCGAAGAGCCCUUCCUUUGAAGGCUUUGAAGGAUCCAAAGCAUAGCUGGCUUUCGGCCAAAAGAUCCGACAAACAGACGGAAGAAACAUUGGGCGCCGCGUUCGUCGCAGAUGCUCCGUCGUGUAUCGAGCCACUUGACUUCUGGAAGACGACGUCUUUCGCGUUCGCACGUCAGCGAAACGUCGCUGUAUGAUCGACAGUUGAAACGAAACUCUCAUAGCAUCGACAUUCAUAUCGCCGGUUUAUAUAAUAACGCAAUAUUCACCGGGCUCCAGAUCGCUCAGUUUGAAUUAGAUUAAAGUUCUCUAGUUCUCACGAGUUAUUCCAUUUCCAUUUGUACUAUGUAUCUUCCUGAAAGUCGCUUAUGGGGCGCAUUAUUUCAAAUACAGAAAAUUAAUCAGCUGGCUGUCUUCCACGAGUAUUCGCGUCACGAAGAAAUGGCGAUAUUUUGCGUUACAACGAGUAUACUCGUCGUGCUUAAAAGGUGCUUGCAAUUUGCUUUUAAAUCGCAACUUAGUAAUCGCAGUUAGUCGCAGCAAUAAUAUUAAACGACAAAACAGUCGUUUCUUUGCAGCUUGAUUCUAUAGUAUAGUAUUCUAUAGUCACACGUACUCCGUGUUUGACGAGAAUAUUCGCUUACUUUUGGCCGCGCAUUUUCGAAGAGAUCGCAACAGCCAACUGGUCAAGCAAACUAUAAUUACGUUAAUUGAAAUUAUAUCGUACUUUUAAUAUCACUCGGAACCGGACGAUACCGAACGACGGUUACACUGGAAAGCAGUAAUUUUUUCUCGCAGAUUGCGGUAGGAUUUACAAACGAAGAUUAUAAUUUAAUUCGAAUGAAUACCGCGAACGCGGUGAAACCUGCAAAUGACAGGAUAUCCACUGCCUUUGAGGCGCUCAGCUUUCGCUGUAACCUACGCGACAGACGCAAAAACUUUCGUCAACCGUUUAAGAUUCGGAAAUUGCCGCUGCAACUUGAAAGAGCAGGUGCUCGGACAAGUUUCACGACUCGUAACCCGAGUUGGUCGGCGCGGCUCGUAAGCCGCUGUCGAAAACGAUAGAAGAGCUUUGAGCAGACUGGUCGGCCCAGAAUCAUCUUUGGCAACUUAGUUGGCAAAGACAGCAAACUCCGCCGCCUCUGCAGCUUCUAAACGUCGAGAUAUAUCGCGGUGCUUAGGCGCGAGACGCGGCGAACAGACGAACGACCGGUAAAUCGAAUACAAAUCGCCUCGUCGAUAUUCCAACGGAAAGCUGUACAGCUCGAUCAUUUUACGUAGUUUAUUUUUCGUUUCGCGUUAAUCGAUGAGAAACAUUGAUCGCUCGACUAAAGCGUUAUGGAACUGAAGCAAUUUGACAUGCUGGCCAGGCAAACGACGAUAAACCAUUACCAUACGAAGAGUUUGCUCUGAUAUUUAAAUCGUAUUUAUUAUUGGCAUUUAUUAUUGGGGGCAUUUAUUAUUGGCGAAAGAAAAAUCCAGGCUUCGUAUUCAAAAGCUUGUCGCUAUGGAUAUUAAUGGACUAAUGAAUUUGUAGCGCGUUUGAAAAAGUCAUUUAAUCUCGAGUCGACGUCGUGUUAUUGGUUUACUAAAAAUUACGUAAAACAGGAGCUGCUUCGUACAGUAUCGCGUAUAUUAGUUUCCUUUGAAAUAAAUAAACUCGGUAUAUAAAUAAAAAGUAAGCUUAAAAGACGCGCUUUUAAAAUAUAUUAAAUCGUGGCAAAAGUUUCUCUCGUUUUAUAAGGAAAUAAUGGAUGCGCAACGUGCUUUGUUUUAUAUUAUUUUAUCGAAUUACGAUCGUUUUUUUUUUUUUUCUAUUGGAACAUCAUCCAUAACUCGAUAAAAUUGCAUAAACCAAAAAACGUUACUACUUUUGCCACGAUCUAAUACGAAAUCGUUUAAAAUAUAAUAUCGUUGCCUGGCAUUGAUAGUACCACGGUUCGCUGUUUCGGUAUACCCGAUAAAUUUUCAAACUCGAUCUUCCCGCAAACUAACCCGAGAAUGAAAAAUUGUUAUUCUACGAUACAUUUUUCUCUUAUUUUUCUACAAAGAAUCUGCCUGUUUAUUCCACCUGUGUAAAUGUACACGAGAUACGCAAACUCCGUCAUCUAUUUAUUCCCCAGGUAGAACAAAUUUUUCCUCGCGUACAUUCUACUCCUUUAUUUGUUUCCAUGAAAAUAUGAAUUCGCGCGCAUGUCCACCGAUAAGCAACUCCGUACAGAGUUGAAACGAGACGACCGCCGGUGAAAAUUGCGGCAGAAGCAAGCGAAGGGAUCGCGAAGGAAGGGAACGCAAUUAUCGGAGUCGCGCGAGGCCACGUACACACGUGAGCACAGACGAAACGUUCCGUGGAACUCUUUUGUUCCACUUUCGAGUGUAUCAAGUUAUAUUGUGUACCGGCAAGCAUCGUGCCGGAUGUAGCAAUGAGCGGCGCGGCGAGAGUCAACGAGCCAUUUCCGGGGCCUCUCGCUGCAGAAUAUUACAUUGAUAACAGAAAUUGCCUUCCAAGUGUGCCCGGCUUGUCCAAGACGUUGUCCUCGAGGAGACGACGCGCGACAGACAGAAACGCGAGUUCGAUAUUCGCGUCUCGACCGAUCUUCCAUCGAUACGUGCUUCGAAACUAGUAGUAGCCUGCUCUAUGAGGCUACGGCUCCUGUGUUUUAUAGCGAUCUUCUUUGCUGUCGAAGAUGUUAAUUAACCAUCGUCGAUAAGAGACAGUUAGACGAGCAUAGGAUCGGAUAUGCGUCACGCAAAAACCAGACUCGUGCUUUGAAAACGUCGAUGGUACACGGUCAGCCACCAGGUAGCGUACGUAAGGAAAGAAGGAUUCCUCUGGAUCGAGAAAUCCAUCGAUCGAUCGAUACCAGCGUUGAUAAGUGUUGAGGUUAUUAGAUGUACGAACAGAGGAACGCGUGGAUAAAUUGUAAAGUAGAAAAUACAGGGUGAAGUGUAAGUACAAGUAGGAAUAUAACUUGAGCUGGUUCAGCAGCCAGCAGUGUUACCCUAUAACUGAAAACCCCGGAGCAAUCGUCGCCUGUCUACUGUCUAUGGUCUGCCUUGGUCCCAGUCUAUCGUCUAUACGCUUCGGUGCUUGAGAAAACUAAAAAAAACAGAUGUAGAGUUUUCCUAGAAGCGGUGACCACUUCAACAAUAAGAAAUCGAAAUUAGUGAAAUUCAACUCCGUUCAUGCAAAUCCAUCGAUGAACAAGCAGCGCAUACAUAAUUACGGUAGAACUCCGUGUACCUGAACCCGUCGAGAGACGAGCGGUCUGUCUAUUCCAAGUUCGUACAAUAGCAGCUCCAACUGCCUGUUACUUUUCGUCCGUAAAAUGGGAAGCCGCGUUCGAAUGAGCGAGUUUCACCAGCAAGAGUUGACGUCAAAAUCGAACAUUAACCAAAAUCUUGCAACGAACGAACUUCCAUCUACCAUAACACUGCCUCGUCUACGAUCUUCGUUUAGGUAAAUGGAUGUUUACUGUAACAGAUUUUAACUGGAGACCCGAAUCUUCCCAAGUCAUGAAAGAAUCUUGAAGAUGUCAAGGUCCCGAGACUCGCGACGACCAAAAGAUAAACAGCUCGACGUACGUACGUACGUCUGCGAGACCUAAGUGUACGCGGUUCCGAGAAACGAAAUCCGUCGAUUGAAUCUCGCGAAUUCAUCGAGCACCAUGUCGCCCGUCCCUUCCACCGAUAUUCAAUGGAAUCAUUCAUGCGAGGACGCGUAUACGCUGGCUCUUCGUCUGUCUUUGGAGAUCCGACAGCGGGGUAAAAAGCGCUCGAGUAUAUCCGGCAGGGAACAGCGAUCGGACAACGCCACUCCACCUUAUCGAGGAUUCGAGGAACUUUUUAUCACUGGCCCGCCGCCAGGACGCUGCCCUCGCGUCUUCUUUCGUUUCAAACGUUGACGAAUAUCGCUGCGUAGGAUCACGAUAGGGCUUUUACGGAGAAAUAGAAAAUUCGAUAGGAAGAUAAGAAAGGGUGGCGAUCGUUGUUGACAUUGGAUAUAAAUUGCAGUGAUUUGUUGAUAUUAAAAACAGUAAUGUUUGAUACGUAGCUCUUUAAAUGUAACACCGGAGCACGAAAUAUUCGGGACCAAUUUCUACGAUAGUUCGAAAUAUCUGACUUGAAGAUAAUGAGUUUUCUUUCUUAAUAUAUGUAAAAUAUGUAUGUUUUUUAAUAUAUGUAAAUAUAAUGUAUUUUAAUAUACGAUAUAUGUAAAAAAAAAGAAAUAUUUGGAUACGUUUAAACAAAUAAUGCUCGAGAUCAUCCAGCUGUUAUUUUAAAACAUUUUUCGUUAGAAUCGAUUAAAGAAAUAUGAAAAUAAACAAGUAUAUGGAUAUUUAUGAAAUUUCAUACUUCUUUUCAUACUUUCUUUUAUCAAAGAAGUGGAACUUAAAUAGAGAUUUGUGUUACCCAUUGAAUAUUAUGAUUUAAGCGUCUCAAUAUCUUUCUCAACGAGCAAAACGUGCCACGAUUAUUCACCAAUAAUGUCGUUACUUAAUCUAAAGCCUCUUGAAGAUCGUAGAUUAGUCGUUGAUUUGUGUUCGCUACGUGAAAUAAUUAAUGUUCGUACAAACAGUUCGCCUACUCUUGCAUUGAUUAAUUUUAAUGCACCACUUGAGCCUAUAAGAAAACCGUUGCUAUUUCAAUACUAUACUUGUCCAAGUAUUUCCAUUUAGAUUCUCUAAAUCGUAUUUGCCCUCUGGCUCUCCUCGUCCUUUCUCUAGCCGCGUACAUCUUUUCAUCGAUGCUGCUUUUUCCAAGCGAACAGUCCACCAUAUUUGUCUUAUUAAAUUUACAGUGAAAAUUCGGCUCGAGCUCUUUCGUUUAUUAUAUUUUGCUCCAAUCUUCCUCUAAACGCCUGUAUCCGGAAAUAAUACACGCAAAAUGAUUUUUGUGUUAUAUUAGUUUAUUGAAUUAUGUACGAACGUGAUAAUAAAAAUAGAACGAAAUGGAUCAUACGUAAUU